Molecule: ribosomal RNA, 388 nt
Filed under: uncultured soil bacterium
Lineage: Bacteria
Description: bacterial SSU rRNA
Rfam family: Bacterial small subunit ribosomal RNA (bases 1-294)
Source: RNAcentral
CGACGGGGUGAGUAACGCGUAGGCACGUACCCGCGAAGUGAGAGAUCAGCAGCAGACAAUGGGGUCUAUAGCCACAUAGCUAUGAGGCGUAGGGGCUAGGCGCGUUGGGAAGGGCCUGCGUCCGAUUAGCUAGUUGGUGAGGUAAUGGCUCACCAAGGCGAUGAUCGAUAUCUGGUCUGAGAGGGAUGAACAGACACACUGGGACUGAGACACGGUCCAGACUCCUACGGGAGGCAGCAGUGAGGGAAUUCUUGCGACAGAUGGGCGGUGAAGCCUGAAUGCGAGCUACGCCGCGUGCGACGGAUGGUCAGUGCCGUUCAGGGGAUCGUAACCUCGCUUUCUGAUACUGUGACAGAUUAUGACGGUACGCGACUAUGAAUAGCACUCG